CGUGUGGUUCUAUUUUGUUGGUUUCUAGGACCGCCGUAAUGAUUAAUAGGGACAGUCGGGGGCAUCAGUAUUCAAUUGUCAGAGGUGAAAUUCUUGGAUUUAUUGAAGACUAACUACUGCGAAAGCAUUUGCCAAGGAUGUUUUCAUUAAUCAGGAACGAAAGUUAGGGGAUCGAAGACGAUCAGAUACCGUCGUAGUCUUAACCAUAAACUAUGCCGACUAGGGAUCGGACGGUGUUAUUUUUUGACCCGUUCGGCACCUUACGAGAAAUCAAAGUGCUUGGGCUCCAGGGGGAGUAUGGUCGCAAGGCUAAAACUUAAAGAAAUUGACGGAAGGGCACCACCAGGGGUGGAGCCUGCGGCUUAAUUUGACUCAACACGGGGAAACUCACCAGGUCCAGACACAAUGAGGAUUGACAGAUUGAGAGCUCUUUCUUGAUUUUGUGGGUGGUGGUGCAUGGCCGUUCUUAGUUGGUGGAGUGAUUUGUCUGCUUAAUUGCGAUAACGAACGAGACCUUAACCUGCUAAAUAGCCCGUAUUGCUCUGGCAGUACGCUGGCUUCUUAGAGGGACUAUCGGCUCAAGCCGAUGGAAGUUUGAGGCAAUAACAGGUCUGUGAUGCCCUUAGAUGUUCUGGGCCGCACGCGCGCUACACUGACGGAGCCAGCGAGUACUUCCUUGUCCGAAAGGUCCGGGUAAUCUUGUUAAACUCCGUCGUGC
RNAcentral lists this ribosomal RNA (718 nucleotides) under uncultured fungus. Its description in RNAcentral is "SSU rRNA". It matches the Rfam family "Eukaryotic small subunit ribosomal RNA", at positions 827 to 1570 of the family's 1831-position model. The record is from RNAcentral. Lineage: Eukaryota; Fungi.